Molecule: ribosomal RNA, 453 nt
Filed under: Triticum aestivum (bread wheat)
Lineage: Eukaryota; Viridiplantae; Streptophyta; Magnoliopsida; Poales; Poaceae
Description: partial small subunit ribosomal RNA
Source: RNAcentral
AUGUCGAAGAGGAAAACCAGGGAGCCUAAGGAGGAGAAUGUUACUCUUGGACCUGCUGUCCGUGAAGGGGAGCAUGUCUUCGGAGUUGCUCAUGUCUUUGCAUCAUUCAAUGACACAUUCAUCCACGUCACUGACUUGUCCGGGAGAGAGACCCUUGUUCGUAUCACUGGUGGAAUGAAGGUCAAGGCUGAUCGUGACGAGUCAUCACCAUAUGCAGCUAUGCUUGCUUCUCAAGAUGUGGCGACACGUUGCAAGGAGCUCGGCAUCACUGCUUUGCACAUUAAGCUCCGUGCCACUGGAGGCAACAAGACCAAGACUCCUGGACCUGGUGCUCAAUCCGCUCUCAGGGCACUCGCUCGUUCUGGCAUGAAAAUUGGACGCAUUGAGGACGUGACCCCCGUUCCCACUGACAGCACCCGCAGAAAGGGUGGUAGGAGAGGAAGGAGGCUGUAG